UGGGGAAUAUUGGACAAUGGGGGGAACCCUGAUCCAGCCAUGCCGCGUGUGUGAAGAAGGCCUUAUGGUUGUAUAGCACUUUAAGCGAGGAGGAGGGUACUGGUAUUAAUACUACCAGCUACUGGACGUUACUCGCAGAAUAAGCACCGGCUAACUCUGUGCCAGCAGCCGCGGUAAUACAGAGGGUGCGAGCGUUAAUCGGAUUUACUGGGCGUAAAGCGUGCGUAGGCGGCUAAUUGAGUCGGAUGUGAAAUCCCCGAGCUUAACUUGGGAAUUGCAUUCGAUACUGGUUAGCUAGAGUGUGGGAGAGGAUGGUAGAAUUCCAGGUGUAGCGGUGAAAUGCGUAGAGAUCUGGAGGAAUACCGAUGGCGAAGGCAGCCAUCUGGCCUAACACUGACGCUGAGGUACGAAAGCAUGGGGAGCAAACAGG
RNAcentral lists this ribosomal RNA (430 nucleotides) under Pseudomonadota bacterium. RNAcentral's name for it is "Proteobacteria bacterium partial 16S ribosomal RNA". It matches the Rfam family "Bacterial small subunit ribosomal RNA", at positions 355 to 776 of the family's 1533-position model. Lineage: Bacteria; Pseudomonadati; Pseudomonadota. The record is from RNAcentral.